RNAcentral lists this ribosomal RNA (495 nucleotides) under uncultured bacterium. Its description in RNAcentral is "bacterial SSU rRNA". It matches the Rfam family "Bacterial small subunit ribosomal RNA", at positions 24 to 518 of the family's 1533-position model. The record is from RNAcentral.
UCAGGAUGAACGCUGGCGGCGUGCCUAACACAUGCAAGUCGAACGAAGCACUGGAACCGAUCUCUUCGGACUGACGUUCCUUUGACUUAGUGGCGGACGGGUGAGUAACGCGUGGAUAACCUGCCUGUAUCUGGGGGAUAACAGUUAGAAAUGACUGCUAAUACCGCAUAAGCGCACAGUACCGCAUGGUAAAGUGUGAAAAGCCUUGUGCGGAUACAGAUGGAUCCGCGUUAGAUUAGCCAGUUGGCGGGGUAACGGCCCACCAAAGCGACGAUCUAUAGCCGGCCUGAGAGGGCGACCGGCCACAUUGGGACUGAGACACGGCCCAAACUCCUACGGGAGGCAGCAGUGGGGAAUAUUGCACAAUGGGGGAAACCCUGAUGCAGCGACGCCGCGUGAGCGAUGAAGUAUUUCGGUAUGUAAAGCUCUAUCAGCAGGGAAGAAAAUGACGGUACCUGACUAAGAAGCCCCGGCUAACUACGUGCCAGCCGCCGC